CUACGGGUCGCAGCAGUGGGGAAUUUUGGACAAUGGGGGCAACCCUGAUCCAGCCAUUCCGCGUGAGUGAAGAAGGCCUUCGGGUUGUAAAGCUCUUUCGGCAGGAACGAAACGGUGGAGGCCAAUACCUUUCAUCAAUGACGGUACCUGAAGAAGAAGCACCGGCUAACUACGUGCCAGCAGCCGCGGUAAUACGUAGGGUGCGAGCGUUAAUCGGAAUUACUGGGCGUAAAGCGUGCGCAGGCGGUUCUAUAAGACAGAUGUGAAAUCCCCGGGCUUAACCUGGGAACUGCGUUUGUGACUGUAGGACUCGAGUGUGGCAGAGGGGGGUGGAAUUCCACGUGUAGCAGUGAAAUGCGUAGAGAUGUGGAGGAACACCGAUGGCGAAGGCAGCCCCCUGGGUUAACACUGACGCUCAUGCACGAAAGCGUGGGGAGCAAACAGGAUUAGAUACCCGGGUAGUC
Molecule: ribosomal RNA, 464 nt
Filed under: uncultured bacterium
Lineage: Bacteria
Description: partial 16S ribosomal RNA
Rfam family: Bacterial small subunit ribosomal RNA
Source: RNAcentral